AGCUUUGCGCAGUGGCAGUAUCGCAGCCAAUGAGGUUUACCUGAGGCAUGAUUAUCGCUAACUGAAA
Molecule: small nuclear RNA, 67 nt
Filed under: Cervus elaphus hippelaphus
Lineage: Eukaryota; Metazoa; Chordata; Mammalia; Artiodactyla; Cervidae
Rfam family: U4 spliceosomal RNA
About the family: U4 small nuclear RNA (U4 snRNA) is a component of the major U2-dependent spliceosome. The structure of U4 snRNA from yeast and human has been reported.
Source: RNAcentral